GCCUGGCAUGAUGACACAUGCCUGUAAUCCCAGAAACUUGGGAGGCUGAGGCAGGAGGAUUGCAAGUUCAAGGCCAGCAACUUAGCGAGGCCCUGUCUCAA
This 101-nucleotide small RNA is filed under the name Marmota monax (woodchuck). Lineage: Eukaryota; Metazoa; Chordata; Mammalia; Rodentia; Sciuridae. The record is from RNAcentral.